This 757-nucleotide ribosomal RNA is filed under the name uncultured bacterium. RNAcentral's name for it is "bacterial SSU rRNA". It matches the Rfam family "Bacterial small subunit ribosomal RNA", at positions 157 to 917 of the family's 1533-position model. The record is from RNAcentral.
GUCGGACUAAUACCGUAUUUUGUCCAUUGACGGCAUCCGAUUUGACGAAAGGCUUGGCGGUGAGGGAUGGGGAUGCGUCCGAUUAGCCAGACGGCGGGGUAACGGCCCACCGUGGCGACGAUCGGUAGGGGUUCUGAGAGGAAGGUCCCCCACACUGGAACUGAGACACGGUCCAGACUCCUACGGGAGGCAGCAGUGAGGAAUAUUGGUCAAUGGGCGUAAGCCUGAACCAGCCAAGUAGCGUGCAGGACGACGGCCCUAUGGGUUGUAAACUGCUUUUAUGCGGGGAUAAAGUGGCCCACGUGUGGGUUUUUGCAGGUACCGCAUGAAUAAGGACCGGCUAAUUCCGUGCCAGCAGCCGCGGUAAUACGGAAGGUCCGGGCGUUAUCCGGAUUUAUUGGGUUUAAAGGGAGCGUAGGCCGCGCCUUAAGCGUGUUGUGAAAUCCGGGUGCUCAACAUCCGGCUUGCAGCGCGAACUGGGGCGCUUGAGUGCGCAGAAAGUAGGCGGAAUUCGUGGUGUAGCGGUGAAAUGCUUAGAUAUCACGAGGAACUCCGAUUGCGAAGGCAGCCUACUGUAGCGCUACUGACGCUGAUGCUCGAAAGCGUGGGUAUCGAACAGGAUUAGAUACCCUGGUAGUCCACGCGGUAAACGAUGGAUGCUCGUUGUCGGCCCUUUGGGUCGGUGACCAAGCGAAAGCGUUAAGCAUCCCACCUGGGGAGUACGCCGGCAACGGUGAAACUCAAAGGAAUUGACGGG